Molecule: ribosomal RNA, 433 nt
Filed under: uncultured bacterium
Lineage: Bacteria
Description: partial 16S ribosomal RNA
Rfam family: Bacterial small subunit ribosomal RNA
Source: RNAcentral
AACGAACGCUGGCGGCAUGCCUAACACAUGCAAGUCGAACGAGACCUUCGGGUCUUGUGGCGCACGGGUGCGUACCGCGUGGGAACCUGCCCUUAGGUUCGGAAUAACUCCCCGAAAGGGGUGCUAAUACCGGAUAAUGUCUUCGGACCAAAGAUUUAUCGCCUUUGGAUGGGCCCGCGUUGGAUUGGCUGGUUGGUAGGGUAAAAGCCUACCAAGGCGACGAGCCAUAGCUGGUCUGAGAGGAGGAUCAGCCACACUGGGACUGAGACACGGCCCAGACUCCUACGGGAGGCAGCAGUGGGGAAUAUUAGACAAUGGGCGCAAGCCUGAUCCAGCAAUGCCGCGUGAGUGAUGAAGGCCUUAGGGUUGUAAAGCUCUUUUACCCGGGAUGAUAAUGACAGUACCGGGAGAAUAAGCACCGGCUAACUCCGUG